GGAGGCGUGCCUGAGUGGCUGAAGGGGGUGGUCCCGAAAACCACUAUACCUUUAUGGGUAUCGGAGGUUCGAAUCCUCCCGCCUCCGCCA
This 90-nucleotide transfer RNA is filed under the name Patescibacteria group bacterium. RNAcentral's name for it is "tRNA-Ser". It matches the Rfam family "tRNA". Rfam says of the family: Transfer RNA (tRNA) molecules are approximately 80 nucleotides in length. Their secondary structure includes four short double-helical elements and three loops (D, anti-codon, and T loops). Further hydrogen bonds mediate the characteristic L-shaped molecular structure. tRNAs have two regions of fundamental functional importance: the anti-codon, which is responsible for specific mRNA codon recognition, and the 3' end, to which the tRNAs corresponding amino acid is attached (by aminoacyl-tRNA synthetases). tRNAs cope with the degeneracy of the genetic code in two manners: having more than one tRNA (with a specific anti-codon) for a particular amino acid; and 'wobble' base-pairing, i.e. permitting non-standard base-pairing at the 3rd anti-codon position. The record is from RNAcentral.